GGUUAGGUGGCUGAGGUUUAUUAAGCGGUAAAUUGUAAAUUUAUAGACGGGAGUAUUCCCUCUAAUCA
Molecule: transfer RNA, 68 nt
Filed under: Typhlatya miravetensis
Lineage: Eukaryota; Metazoa; Arthropoda; Malacostraca; Decapoda; Atyidae
Description: tRNA-Tyr
Rfam family: tRNA
About the family: Transfer RNA (tRNA) molecules are approximately 80 nucleotides in length.
Source: RNAcentral